RNAcentral lists this ribosomal RNA (651 nucleotides) under Triticum aestivum (bread wheat). RNAcentral describes it as "partial small subunit ribosomal RNA". The record is from RNAcentral. Lineage: Eukaryota; Viridiplantae; Streptophyta; Magnoliopsida; Poales; Poaceae.
AUGAUCGUCUUAGUCUGGAACUGUCGAGGACUGGGGUUGGACUCGACGGUAGGUGAACUUCGUGACCUGGUACGGUCUUACAACCCAGCGGUGGUGUUCUUGUCUGAAACGAAGAAGAGGGCAGGAGCGAUGGAGAAGUUGAAAUGGAGUCUUGGGUUCACUCAAGGUGUGGCAGUAGAUUGCAAUGGAAAAAGCGGGGGUUUAGCACUGUGGUGGAGAGAUUUUUUGGAUGUCACUGUCCGGCCGUGGUGCCAAUACUAUAUUGAUGCAAAAAUUGUUGGUGAGGAGAACACCUUCAGAUUCACUGGAAUAUACGGUGAGCCAUGUGUAGACAAAAGGAAGAAGACCUGGGAAGUCCUUCGAUACCUUAGAGGCCAAGACAAUCUACCAUUGAUCCGUGCGGGUGACUAUAAUGAAGCGUUAGAGCUGUCGGAACAGCAGGGUGGUAAUCAGAGAAGCUUAAGGCAGAUGGAGGCAUUCAGGGACUGUCUCACGGACUGCAGCAUGGCGGAUAUAUGGAUUUCUCUGGAUACCCAUUCACAUGGGAUAAUAAACGAGAUGUGGAAGAAAACAUUCAGGUCUGACUGGAUCGUGCGACAUGUAAUGCGGAAUUCAUGCAGAUGUUCCCAGGUACCGAUGUGCAACAUGUAA